This 496-nucleotide ribosomal RNA is filed under the name uncultured bacterium. RNAcentral describes it as "partial 16S ribosomal RNA". It matches the Rfam family "Bacterial small subunit ribosomal RNA", at positions 29 to 507 of the family's 1533-position model. The record is from RNAcentral.
AUGCACGCUGGCGGCGUGCCUCAUACAUGCAAGUCGAGCGCACAGACGAGGAGCUUGCUCCUCUGACGUUAGCGGCGGACGGGUGAGUAACACGUGGAUAACCUACCUAUAAGACUGGGAUAACUUCGGGAAACCGGAGCUAAUACCGGAUAAUAUAUUGAACCGCAUGGUUCAAUAGUGAAAGACGGUUUUGCUGUCACUUAUAGAUGGAUCCGCGCCGCAUUAGCUAGUUGGUAAGGUAACGGCUUACCAAGGCGACGAUGCGUAGCCGACCUGAGAGGGUGAUCGGCCACACUGGAACUGAGACACGGUCCAGACUCCUACGGGAGGCAGCAGUAGGGAAUAUUCCGCAAUGGGCGAAAGCCUGACGGAGCAACGCCGCGUGAGUGAUGAAGGUCUUCGGAUCGUAAAACUCUGUUAUUAGGGAAGAACAAAUGUGUAAGUAACUAUGCACGUCUUGACGGUACCUAAUCAGAAAGCCACGGCUAACUACGUG